CAGUGGCUUCUUACAGGGGAACAACUUCAAGCUGGUCGUAUUGAGCCUACUCUUAACCCUUGGAACACUCCAAUAUUUGUAGUUAAAAAAAAAAAAAAAGCAAAUGGAGAUUGUUAUAAGGUCUCAGAGCCAUUAGUUGAACUAUGGAAUCAAUGGGGAUUUAUAAUCUGGGCUUCCCUCUCCUAUAGCUUGAUUAUCAAUUAAUAGUAAUAGAUUUAAAAGAUUGUUUUUUCACUAUACCAUUACAUCCAGGUGAUUGUAAGAGAUUUGCUUUUAA
This 277-nucleotide small RNA is filed under the name Marmota monax (woodchuck). Lineage: Eukaryota; Metazoa; Chordata; Mammalia; Rodentia; Sciuridae. The record is from RNAcentral.